This is a long non-coding RNA of Gadus morhua (Atlantic cod), 859 nucleotides long. RefSeq lists it as uncharacterized. The record is from RefSeq and is a predicted model, not a curated record. The transcript is spliced from 2 exons. NCBI's taxonomy places the organism in Eukaryota, Metazoa, Chordata, Actinopteri, Gadiformes, Gadidae.
GACACAGGGGACAUGUCCCCUGCGCUUUUUCAAAAGGCCGUUCUGGUCCCCUGCAGUUUUCACCGUCCGGAAACCAUGUUACGCUAUGGUAAACAGAGACUCGUCAGGCACUAGGACCAAGCGGAAACGGCCGCUCGAGCUGAAGCCAGUUUGCUUUCGUUUAGACCUGCCCACAAGCUCCUCCAUUGGCUCUGCAUUCCUUGUGUGAUUGGCCGUCCCCGCUGUCACUCCAUCAGGUUAUAAACAGCACCAGUACGCACACCGGUCUGCCAGUUGGGGAGGAGGCCGUGUUAAUCUUCCGCUGCGCAGCCAGGAUGUCUAAAAAAAGAAAAGUGGACAUAAGAGACUUCUUUCAAAGUCAAAGUGUAUGUUACUCAAAGAAAUGCGUUACACCAUCCUGCGACACCUUCACUGGCUCCCAAUAAAGCAGCACGUCCACUUCAAGAUCCUCCUCAUCAAUUACAAAGCUCUCAGUAAUCUUGUAAAGUGUAUUUGAGUUUUAUUGAAAGUGCUGAUUUUCUGAAAUUUCUGGAGGAAAGCAGAGGUACCAGUUUCUAUCAAUCGCUCUAAAAACCCCAUUUCCUAACUUUAGCCACGUAAAAUAUAUAUGCAGACGUUCAGGAAGAGCUCAGGAUGCUCACAGUGAAGCCGGUUCAAUGAUAGGAACUAACUACAGUUUGGCCAAAAAUGCUUCGGUUUCAGUUGUUUGUCUCUCAGCGGUGUCAAAUGUCACAGGAGCCAUCAUGACAUGACAUCAUCCUGUAAGGCUUAACAAGACGAGAAACUACUAUAACUGCCUAAAAUGACAGUGGUUCUGUGUUACAUUCAUUUUAAAUAAAUUUGAUCACUUGACUACUUA